GGCUUGUAGCUCAGUGGUUGAACACUUACCUCACAUGCAUGAGGCACUGGGUUUGAUCCUCAGCACCA
Molecule: transfer RNA, 68 nt
Filed under: Marmota monax (woodchuck)
Lineage: Eukaryota; Metazoa; Chordata; Mammalia; Rodentia; Sciuridae
Description: tRNA.Val
Source: RNAcentral